This 253-nucleotide ribosomal RNA is filed under the name uncultured bacterium. RNAcentral describes it as "partial 16S ribosomal RNA". It matches the Rfam family "Bacterial small subunit ribosomal RNA", at positions 524 to 776 of the family's 1533-position model. The record is from RNAcentral.
UACGUAGGGUGCGAGCGUUGUCCGGAAUUACUGGGCGUAAAGAGCUCGUAGGUGGUUUGUCGCGUUGUUCGUGAAAUCUCACGGCUUAACUGUGAGCGUGCGGGCGAUACGGGCAGACUAGAGUACUGCAGGGGAGACUGGAAUUCCUGGUGUAGCGGUGAAAUGCGCAGAUAUCAGGAGGAACACCGGUGGCGAAGGCGGUUCUCUGGGCAUUACCUGACGCUGAGGAGCGAAAGUGUGGGGAGCGAACAGG